GUGCCAGCCGCCGCGGUAAUACGUAGGGUGCGAGCGUUAAUCGGAAUUACUGGGCGUAAAGCGUGCGCAGGCGGUUUUGUAAGACAGGUGUGAAAUCCCCGGGCUUAACCUGGGAACUGCGCUUGUGACUGCAAGACUCGAGUACGGCAGAGGGGGGUGGAAUUCCACGUGUAGCAGUGAAAUGCGUAGAGAUGUGGAGGAACACCGAUGGCGAAGGCAGCCCCCUGGGUCGAUACUGACGCUCAUGCACGAAAGCGUGGGGAGCAAACAGGAUUAGAUACCCGUGUAGUCC
This 292-nucleotide ribosomal RNA is filed under the name uncultured bacterium. RNAcentral's name for it is "partial 16S ribosomal RNA". It matches the Rfam family "Bacterial small subunit ribosomal RNA", at positions 505 to 796 of the family's 1533-position model. The record is from RNAcentral.